Molecule: ribosomal RNA, 429 nt
Filed under: Pseudomonadota bacterium
Lineage: Bacteria; Pseudomonadati; Pseudomonadota
Description: Proteobacteria bacterium partial 16S ribosomal RNA
Rfam family: Bacterial small subunit ribosomal RNA
Source: RNAcentral
UGGGGAAUAUUGGACAAUGGGCGAAAGCCUGAUCCAGCCAUGCCGCGUGUGUGAAGAAGGUCUUCGGAUUGUAAAGCACUUUAAGUUGGGAGGAAGGGCAGUAAGCGAAUACCUUGCUGUUUUGACGUUACCGACAGAAUAAGCACCGGCUAACUCUGUGCCAGCAGCCGCGGUAAUACAGAGGGUGCAAGCGUUAAUCGGAAUUACUGGGCGUAAAGCGCGCGUAGGUGGUUCGUUAAGUUGAAUGUGAAAGCCCCGGGCUCAACCUGGGAACUGCAUCCAACACUGGCGAGCUAGAGGAGGGCAGAGGGUGGUGGAAUUUCCUGUGUAGCGGUGAAAUGCGUAGAUAUAGGAAGGAACACCAGUGGCGAAGGCGACCACCUGGGCUCAUACUGACACUGAGGUGCGAAAGCGUGGGGAGCAAACAGG